Long non-coding RNA from Daphnia pulex (common water flea), 409 nucleotides. RefSeq lists it as uncharacterized. The transcript has 5 exons. The record is from RefSeq and is a predicted model, not a curated record. NCBI's taxonomy places the organism in Eukaryota, Metazoa, Arthropoda, Branchiopoda, Diplostraca, Daphniidae.
GUCGACAAAAUACAAAACAAGCGUAACGGCGUAAGCGUAACCUCCAAGUGCGAGUCGACUGGAUUUGUAAAGAAAUUGCUCGAUAUGUAAGAACGGAAACCCAGGAACCGAAGGAUCAAGCCCACGAUUUUCCCUCCGCUGUGCUGACUCAUGGCGCCAUUGUUGCUCAUCACAAACAAGUGACUCUUGCCAACGUCAGGCUGACUUUUCAGCAAAGAGCGGCAGAGAAGAAGAAUCCAAUAUCAGCUGUGAUGUACAGGAUUGCAGAGGAAUAUUUUCAAAAAUGCCGACUGUCUUUCAAAAGGUUCGAAAUGGAAGAUUUAUUCAUUCACCCAAGAAACGAGUCGAAAUACUCUAAUGUCAAUUGACCCAUUCCAAUCCCCAGCAACGUCAAACUGCAGAAGGAAAG